GUGUUGUGGGAUUGGACCGUAUGGGUUCUGCCGAGCCUGUGACUGUGGUCGGUGUGGUGUUAGCGGAAGACUUCUGGAAAGGGUCGCCGUAGUGGGUGAGAGCCCCGUACGCGAAAAUACUGCACGCAUGGUGGGUCUUGUUCCCAAGUAGCAGCGGGCUCGUGAAAUCUGCUGUGAAUCUGCCGGGACCACCCGGUAAGCCUAAAUACUCCCUGAUGACCGAUAGCGGACAAGUACCGUGAGGGAAAGAUGAAAAGUACCCCGGGAGGGGAGUGAAAUAGUACCUGAAACCGUGUGCCUACAAGCCGUCAGAGCUGAGCAAUUGGUGAUGGCGUGCCUUUUGAAGAAUGAGCCUGCGAGUUAUGCUUCGUGGCGAGGUUAACCUGUUGUGGGGUAGCCGUAGCGAAAGCGAGUCUGAAUAGGGCGUGUAGUCGCGGGGUGUAGACCCGAAGCGGAGUGAUCUACCCAUGGCCAGGGUGAAGCGGCUGUAAGAGGUCGUGGAGGCCCGAACCCACCAGGGUUGAAAACCUGGGGGAUGAGCUGUGGGUAGGGGUGAAAGGCCAAUCAAACUCCGUGAUAGCUGGUUCUCCCCGAAAUGCAUUUAGGUGCAGCGUCGCGUGUUGGGUGCCGGAGGUAGAGCACUGGAUGGGCUAGGGGGCCGACAAGCUUACUGAACUCAGCCAAACUCCGAAUGCCGGUACUUUGAGCGCGGCAGUGAGACUGCGGGGGAUAAGCUUCGUAGUCGAGAGGGAAACAGCCCAGAUCACCGGCUAAGGCCCCUAAGCGUGUGCUAAGUGGGAAAGGAUGUGGGAUCGCCCGGACAACCAGGAGGUUGGCUUAGAAGCAGCCACCCUUUAAAGAGUGCGUAAUAGCUCACUGGUCAAGUGGUCCUGCGCCGACAAUGUAGCGGGGCUCAAGUGCACCGCCGAAGCCGUGGCAACAUCAUAUGUAACCCGCUUUCCGGCUUGUCCGGUUUGUGUAGUUGUGGUGUUGGGUAGGGGAGCGUCAUGCAUCCAGGGAAGCUCCGGGGUGACCCAGGGGUGGAGGGUGUGUGAGUGAGAAUGCAGGCAUGAGUAGCGAAUGCAGAGUGAGAAUCUCUGCCGCCGAAUGACCAAGGGUUCCUGGGCCAGGUUGUUCCGCCCAGGGUGAGCCGGGACCUAAGGCGAGGCCGACAGGCGUAGUCGAUGGACAACGGGUUGAUAUUCCCGUGCUCGUGAUAGUGCGCCCGUGUCGAGGCCUGGGAUGCUAACCAUCCGAACCCGCUUACUGACCUUCGGGUUGGUUUGUUGGGGGAGCGUGGGACCCGACCUGGUAGUAGACAAGCGAUGGGGUGACGCAGGAGGGUAGCUCCGCCAGGCGUUGGUUGUCCUGGUGCAAGCCUGUAGCCCGAGAUCCAGGUAAAUCCGGUUCUCGUGAAGGGUGAGAGGUGAUGCGUAGCCGAUUGAGGCGAAGUAGGGUGAUCCCAUGCUGCCGAGAAAAGCCUCUAGCGAGUGCUGUUGCGGCCCGUACCCCAAACCGACACAGGUGGUCAGGUAGAGAAUACCGAGGCGAUCGAGUGAACUGUGGUUAAGGAACUCGGCAAAAUACCUCCGUAACUUCGGGAGAAGGAGGACCGUCUGGCUUGAAGCCCUUCGCGGGCUAGGGUUGGGCGGUCGCAGAGACCAGGCCCAAGCGACUGUUUACUAAAAACACAGGUCCGUGCGAAGUCGUAAGACGAUGUAUACGGACUGACGCCUGCCCGGUGCUGGAACGUUAAGAGGACCUGUUAGUCCCUUUGGGGGCGAAGCGGAGAAUUUAAGCGCCAGUAAACGGCGGUGGUAACUAUAACCAUCCUAAGGUAGCGAAAUUCCUUGUCGGGUAAGUUCCGACCUGCACGAAUGGCGUAACGACUUCCCC
Molecule: ribosomal RNA, 1896 nt
Filed under: human gut metagenome
Description: bacterial LSU rRNA
Rfam family: Bacterial large subunit ribosomal RNA
Source: RNAcentral